Molecule: ribosomal RNA, 691 nt
Filed under: uncultured Methanoculleus sp.
Lineage: Archaea; Methanobacteriati; Methanobacteriota; Methanomicrobia; Methanomicrobiales; Methanomicrobiaceae
Description: bacterial SSU rRNA
Rfam family: Archaeal small subunit ribosomal RNA
Source: RNAcentral
AGGUUACAGAAUGCUGGAAUGCUCUKUACCAAGUCGACGCUAGAUGAUCUGCGCGAUUAGUGUGUGGGUACGCCACCAAGCAGUAAUCGGUACGGGUGUGGAGCAGAGCCCGGAGUUGGAUUCUGAGACACGAAUCCAGGCCCUACGGGGCGCAGCAGGCGCGAAAACUUUACAAUGCGGGCAACCGUGAUAAGGGAACCUCGAGUGCCUGUAUAUGCAGGCUGUCCAGGUGUCUAAAUCACACCUGAAGAAAGGGCCGGGCAAGACCGGUGCCAGCCGCCGCGGUAAUACCGGCGGCUCGAGUGGUGGCCACUUUUAUUGGGCUUAAAGCGUUCGUAGCUGGGUUGUUAAGUCUCUUGGGAAAUCCGACGGCUCAACCGUCGGGCGUCUAAGAGAUACUGGCAAUCUUGGAACCGGGAGAGGUGAGGGGUACUUCGGGGGUAGGAGUGAAAUCCUGUAAUCCUCGAGGGACCACCUGUGGCGAAGGCGCCUCACCAGAACGGCUUCGACAGUGAGGGACGAAAGCUGGGGGAGCAAACCGGAUUAGAUACCCGGGUAGUCCCAGCCGUAAACGAUGCGCGUUAGGUGUAUCGACGACCACGAGUCGUCGAGGUGCCGAAGGGAAACCGUGAAACGUGCCGCCUGGGAAGUACGGUCGCAAGGCUGAAACUUAAAGGAAUUGGCGGGGGAG